GCCGAAAGGCGUAGCCGAUGCACAUACGGUAGAAAUUCCGUAGCCUCUAUCAAUUUAAACACAGGGACACUUUUGAAGGGUUCAGCCGGGCGAUGGUUGCCCCGGUCGUAAGGGACUGCAAAUGAGCGGGAAGUGUAUUUGGAAGAAGGCGAGAAAAGCUGUGUGAAUAGAAGAUAGAGCCCGUACCGCAAACCGACACAGGUAGAUAGGAAGAAGAUUCUAAGGCCAACGGGAGAAGGGUUGUUAAGGAACUCGGCAAGUUGACCCCGUAACUUAGGGAGAAGGGGUGCUCUUUAAGGAGAGCCGCAGAGAAUAGGCCCAAGCGACUGUUUAGCAAAAACACAGCUCUAUGCUAAACCGAAAGAUGACGUAUAUGGGGUGACACCUGCCCGGUGCCGGAAGGUUAAGAGGAGGAGUGAGAGCUCUGAAUUGAAGCCCCGGUAAACGGCGGCCGUAACAAUAACGGUCCUAAGGUAGCGAAAUUCCUUGUCAGGUAAGUUCUGACCCGCACGAAUGGUGUAACGAUUUGGGCACUGUCUCAACAACCUGCCCGGCGAAAUUGUAGUACCGGUGAAGAUGCCGGUUACCCGCGACUAGACGGAAAGACCCCAUGGAGCUUUACUGCAGCUUAAUAUUGAAUUUCGGUAUUUCAUGUACAGGAUAGGUGGGAGACAGGGAACCAUAGGCGUCAGCUUAUGGGGAGUCGACCUUGGGAUACCACUCUUGAGGUGCUGGAAUUCUAACCUGUGGCUCUGAAUCGAGUCAGGGGACAUUGUUAGGCGGGCAGUUUGACUGGGGCGGUCGCCUCCAAAAAGGUAACGGAGGCGCUCAAAGGUUCGCUCAGCAUGGAUGGAAACCAUGCUUUUGAGUGUAAACGCAAAAGCGAGCCUAACUGCGAGACUGACGGGUCGAGCAGUAACGAAAGUUGGAGUUAGUGAUCCGGCGGUAUGUGAGUGGAAAUGCCGUCGCUCAACGGAUAAAAGCUACCCUGGGGAUAACAGGCUGAUCUCCCCCAAGAGUCCACAUCGACGGGGAGGUUUGGCACCCCGAUGUCGGCUCAUCGCAUCCUGGGGCUGAAUUCGGUCCCAAGGGUUUGGCUGUUCGCCAAUUAAAGCGGUACGCGAGCUGGGUUCAGAACGUCGUGAGACAGUUCGGUCCCUAUCUGUCGUGGGCGUAGGAUAUUUGAAAGGAGCUGUCCCUAGUACGAGAGGACCGGGAUGGACGCACCGCUGGUGCACCAGUUGUCAUGCCAAUGGCACAGCUGGGCAGCUAUGUGCGGAACGGAUAAACGCUGAAGGCAUCUAAGCGUGAAGCCGACCUUAAGAUAAGAUAUCCCUUCGUAAGAGUAAGACCUCUCAUAGACUAUGAGUUUGAUAGGCCUAAGGUGUAAGCACAGUGAUGUGUUCAGCCUGCAGGUACUAAUCGGUCGAGGGCUUUUCC
RNAcentral lists this ribosomal RNA (1440 nucleotides) under metagenome. RNAcentral's name for it is "bacterial LSU rRNA". It matches the Rfam family "Bacterial large subunit ribosomal RNA", at positions 1401 to 2925 of the family's 2925-position model. The record is from RNAcentral.